Molecule: long non-coding RNA, 244 nt
Filed under: Trifolium pratense (red clover)
Lineage: Eukaryota; Viridiplantae; Streptophyta; Magnoliopsida; Fabales; Fabaceae
Description: long non-coding RNA (TPRA_LNC007742)
Source: RNAcentral
UUAGGAUUAGCUAGGUAGCAAUUUAGUGUACGUUUUACUUUUUCUUAAAUUGAUUAUUAUUUACUAGCGGAUCAGGCAGCCGCGUUCCGCGUCUGCAUGUGUCUAACUUAUGUUCAAAAAAAAAGAUAGCCUUAUAUUAUGGUCAGUUUGUUAAUAAAAGAUUUUUGCUGAUAAAAAAAUAUAUGUUUUAUGUUAUUACGAGUUUGUUAAUAAAAUAUUUUUGUUACUACUAAAAAAAAUCAAG